GAUUCAUAAUAACUAAACGAAUCGCAUGGCCUUGCGCCGGCGAUGGUUCAUUCAAAUUUCUGCCCUAUCAACUUUCGAUUGUAAGAUAGAGGCUUACAAUGGUCUUAACGGGUAACGGGGAAUUAGGGUUCUACUCCGGAGAGGGAGCCUGAGAAACGGCUACCACAUCCAAGGAAGGCAGCAGGCGCGCAAAUUACCCAAUGCUAAUUCAGCGAGGUAGUGACAAUAAAUACUGAUACGGGGCUCUUUCGGGUCUCGUAAUUGGAAUGAGUACAAUCUAAAUCCCUUAACGAGGAACAAUUGGAGGGCAAGUCUGGUGCCAGCAGCCGCGGUAAUUCCAGCUCCAAUAGCGUAUAUUAAAGUUGUUGCCGUUAAAAAGCUCGUAGUUGAACCUUGGAUCUGGCUGAUCUGUCCUCCUAAUCGAGCGCACGGAUUCGGUCGGAUCUUUCCUUCUGGGGAACCCUAUGCCCUUCACUGGGUGUAGUGGGGAACCAGGACUUUUAC
This 504-nucleotide ribosomal RNA is filed under the name uncultured fungus. RNAcentral describes it as "SSU rRNA". It matches the Rfam family "Eukaryotic small subunit ribosomal RNA", at positions 248 to 755 of the family's 1831-position model. The record is from RNAcentral. Lineage: Eukaryota; Fungi.